Molecule: ribosomal RNA, 463 nt
Filed under: Bacillus sp. (in: firmicutes)
Lineage: Bacteria; Bacillati; Bacillota; Bacilli; Caryophanales; Bacillaceae
Description: bacterial SSU rRNA
Rfam family: Bacterial small subunit ribosomal RNA
Source: RNAcentral
CAGGUCUUGACAUCCUCUGACAAUCCUAGAGAUAGGACGUCCCCUUCGGGGGCAGAGUGACAGGUGGUGCAUGGUUGUCGUCAGCUCGUGUCGUGAGAUGUUGGGUUAAGUCCCGCAACGAGCGCAACCCUUGAUCUUAGUUGCCAGCAUUCAGUUGGGCACUCUAAGGUGACUGCCGGUGACAAACCGGAGGAAGGUGGGGAUGACGUCAAAUCAUCAUGCCCCUUAUGACCUGGGCUACACACGUGCUACAAUGGACAGAACAAAGGGCAGCGAAACCGCGAGGUUAAGCCAAUCCCACAAAUCUGUUCUCAGUUCGGAUCGCAGUCUGCAACUCGACUGCGUGAAGCUGGAAUCGCUAGUAAUCGCGGAUCAGCAUGCCGCGGUGAAUACGUUCCCGGGCCUUGUACACACCGCCCGUCACACCACGAGAGUUUGUAACACCCGAAGUCGGUGAGGUAAC